UUAAUUUUCUCUUACUCUUUUGCCAUAUGAGGAACGAGCAUUUGUCCCUUUUGUCCUUCUGCCAUUUGAGGAAGCAACAAGAAGGCCCUUACCAGAUGCUGGUGCCUUGAUCUUCAACUUCCCAGCCUUCAGAACUGUUGCGUUCCCCCAGUAGACAGACACUGAGAUGGAAAUUUGCAUACCGAAGGUGGAUUGAGGAUUGUUUAUCUGAAAAAAACAUCUAUGGUGGAGUAAGAAAAAUCACGACUGGGCUAUGGAGAAAGCUGAACUGGGAUGCAGAACAGAAGCUUCAGCCUCACUCGUGGGGAGCUCUGGCGCUAAAAAAACUCAUCGAAGAUUUCCCAAAUUGGAACAAGGCCUCUGUACUCCUGCAUUGACCAGUCAUGUGCCACUGUCACAAUGCUCUCAUGCCAAACCUUGACUGCAAAGCUGAGAUGUUAAUAUGGAACACCUGAGAGGGCUGGCACUUCAGCGUCCUUAUUCCUCCAGAACCACACCACAAAAGUCACCUUCUCCCCAGACAGAUUCUCUACAAAAUGCCUUGCAGCCGAGGUGUGGUGGAAAGAAUAUUGUAUUUGGAAUAAAAAAUUUUUGAUUUUGCACCAUCA
This 608-nucleotide long non-coding RNA is filed under the name Homo sapiens (human). Its description in RNAcentral is "HSALNT0031967". Lineage: Eukaryota; Metazoa; Chordata; Mammalia; Primates; Hominidae. The record is from RNAcentral.